AACGCGAAGAACCUUACCUGGGCUAGAAUGCAGUCUGACUGAUUCUGAAAGGUGUCUUUGUAGCAAUACACAGAUUGUAAGGUGCUGCAUGGCUGUCGUCAGCUCGUGCCGUGAGGUGUUGGGUUAAGUCCCGGAACGAGCGCAACCCCUAUCACUAUUUGCCAGCACGUAAUGGUGGGAACUCUAGUGAAACUGCCGUCGUAAGACGCGAGGAAGGAGGGGAUGAUGUCAAGUCAUCAUGGCCUUUAUGCCCAGGGCUACACACGUGCUACAAUGGUGGGAACAAAGGGCUGCUACCUGGUAACAGGCUGCUAAUCUCAAAAAUCCCAUCUCAGUUCGGAUUGAGGUCUGCAACUCGACCUCAUGAAGCUGGAAUCGCUAGUAAUCGUAUAUCAGCAAUGAUACGGUGAAUACGUUCCCGGGCCUUGUAAACACCG
This 437-nucleotide ribosomal RNA is filed under the name uncultured bacterium. RNAcentral's name for it is "bacterial SSU rRNA". It matches the Rfam family "Bacterial small subunit ribosomal RNA", at positions 958 to 1392 of the family's 1533-position model. The record is from RNAcentral.